GGCCACUGGUGAGGACUUCUCUGUAGAGCCAGCUGAUGAGAGGAGGCCUUUCCGUGCUCUUUUGGAUGUUGGCCUUGUUAGGACCACCACCGGAAACCGUGUCUUUGGUGCCCUGAAGGUAUACUGCUGCGAACUUGUAUGCUUGUCAAUUUGAUUGUUGCGCUUUUAACAAACAAACUUGUUGGAAACAUGUUGAACUCUAUCAAGUCUGGAUAAAUGUUAUCACUAUUUAACUUUCUUUUUGGGCUUGUCAACAUCAAGUUUCUGUAUUAUAUAGACUUUUAUGCACUGAAAGAAUUUACAUUCCCAUUUUCAUUAAGCUAUAGUUUUGUUGUAUGUUUAAGAAACGUUUUAAUGAAGACUGUUUUUUAUUGAACAUUAAUCACUGUUGCAUUCUGUUGUUGUAGGGUGCUUUGGAUGGUGGUCUGGAUAUUCCUCACAGUGACAAGAGGUUUGCUGGUUUCAAGAAGGAUGAGAAGAACCUGGAUGCUGAGAUCCACCGCAAGUACAUCUAUGGUGGCCAUGUUGCCGACUACAUGAGGGUGAGUUGUGCAUGUUGCUUGUCAGAUUGUAACCCUUUGUUCCUUUGUGUUGAUUGUGGUAUCUAUUUGGAGGUCUUUACUAAUUCUCACCACUAUUAUUUCUUAUUAUUUUUCCAGACUCUGGCUGAGGAGGAGCCAGAGAAGUACCAGGCUCACUUCAGUGAGUACAUCAAGAAGGGAAUUGAGGCUGAUGACAUGGAAGCUCUGUACAAGAAGGUCCAUGCUGCUAUCCGUGGUGAACCUACCAUGGCCAAGAUAACCAAGCAGCCACCAAAGGAGCACAAGAGGUAUAACAAGGCAGCCACCAAUCUAGCGAACUGUUGUCUACAUCUUGAUGCCUUUACCUACCUUAAUUCCAUAAACUGCAUAGCUCUAACAAUUAUUUUUCCUUUAGGUACAACCCCAAGAAGCUGACCUAUGAGCAGAGGAAGGCCAGCCUCGUCGAAAGGCUCAACGCCCUCAACUCCUCGGGUGGUGCUGAUGACGACGAUGAUGAGGAUGACGAGUGAAGUGUAGUCCCAUCGUAGUAGUUCUAUCUUAUGUGGUGAUCUGAACUUGUGCUGUGGCACUUAUUUACCUGUAGUCCUGCAACAGGCAU
This 1140-nucleotide long non-coding RNA is filed under the name Setaria viridis. RNAcentral's name for it is "long non-coding RNA (SVIR_LNC006180)". The record is from RNAcentral. Lineage: Eukaryota; Viridiplantae; Streptophyta; Magnoliopsida; Poales; Poaceae.